This 188-nucleotide unclassified non-coding RNA is filed under the name uncultured Dothideomycetes. RNAcentral describes it as "sequence contains ITS2". The record is from RNAcentral. Lineage: Eukaryota; Fungi; Ascomycota; Dothideomycetes.
AAACCCUCAAGCCUCAUGGGUGUUGUCCCGCCUCGUGCGUGGCCUUCGCCUGGCUUGGUGUUGGGUGCCUGUCCCUGCUCCCCGCGCGGACUCACCCUAAAUGUAUUGGCAGCAGCCCCUCGGCUUCUCGCGCAGCACAUUGCGCAGCGGAGCGUGGAGAGGCGUGCGUCCAGCAAGCAACCCCCCAA